AUACGUAGGGUGCAAGCGUUAAUCGGAAUUACUGGGCGUAAAGCGUGCGCAGGCGGUUGUGUAAGACAGGUGUGAAAUCCCCGAGCUUAACUUGGGAAUUGCACUUGUGACUGCACAGCUAGAGUGCGGCAGAGGGGGAUGGAAUUCCGCGUGUAGCAGUGAAAUGCGUAGAUAUGCGGAGGAACACCGAUGGCGAAGGCAAUCCCCGUGGGCCUGCACUGACGCUCAUGCACGAAAGCGUGGGGAGC
RNAcentral lists this ribosomal RNA (248 nucleotides) under uncultured bacterium. RNAcentral's name for it is "partial 16S ribosomal RNA". It matches the Rfam family "Bacterial small subunit ribosomal RNA", at positions 523 to 769 of the family's 1533-position model. The record is from RNAcentral.